UGGGGAUAUAGUUCAGUGGUGGAAUGUUUGCCUAGCAUGCAUGAGGCCCUAAAUUCAAUCCCUAGAACCACAA
This 73-nucleotide transfer RNA is filed under the name Marmota monax (woodchuck). Its description in RNAcentral is "tRNA.Ala". Lineage: Eukaryota; Metazoa; Chordata; Mammalia; Rodentia; Sciuridae. The record is from RNAcentral.